AUAUUGGUGCGAGACCGAUAGCAAACAAGUACCGUGAGGGAAAGAUGAAAAGAACUUUGAAAAGAGAGUUAAAGAGUACCUGAAACUGCUGAAAGGGAACCGAAUCGUUUCCAGUGUCUAUAAUCCGUGACAUAUUUCAUUGGCGAGUGUGUGCGUGCGUGUGCUGUGGCAGCGGCCUUUUGGCUGCGCUCGGCGUGUGUGCUGUGUGUGCUUGCUGGUGCCCUGUGUUGCGGUGGGACGUCAAGGUCAGUUCGUAUGCUGCGGGAAAUGGCUGCCGAGGAGGUAGGGCUUACGCUUGCGUUUGUCUGUUAUAUCUUGGUGGACGAGUCGUCGUGGUUGGGACUGAGGUGCCUACAACGUGCUUUUGAGUGGGUUUGUGUCUCCGUGUGUGCCGUGUGCGGAUAGCUUGCUAUGUGCGUGUGGUUGCGUGUGGAUUGAUGCGGGCUUUAGCUUGUUGCCGUUCGGGACGUUGACGAAAUGGAGCGAUCCGACCCGUCUUGAAACACGGACC
Molecule: ribosomal RNA, 511 nt
Filed under: uncultured eukaryote
Lineage: Eukaryota
Description: LSU rRNA
Rfam family: Eukaryotic large subunit ribosomal RNA
Source: RNAcentral